GAGGCGCUAGCUCAUCUGGUAGAGCACUUCCCUUUUAAGGAAGGUGUGCCGGGUUCAAGUCCCGGGCGCCUCA
RNAcentral lists this transfer RNA (73 nucleotides) under Candidatus Omnitrophota bacterium. Its description in RNAcentral is "Candidatus Omnitrophica bacterium (groundwater metagenome) tRNA-Lys". It matches the Rfam family "tRNA". From Rfam's summary of the family: Transfer RNA (tRNA) molecules are approximately 80 nucleotides in length. Their secondary structure includes four short double-helical elements and three loops (D, anti-codon, and T loops). Lineage: Bacteria; Pseudomonadati; Candidatus Omnitrophota. The record is from RNAcentral.